UCAUGAUAUAUCCAAUGAUGAGAGGUGCAAAGCUGCAGUUCCCUGAGUGCCCACUAAAGGCUGUGUGUAGAACCACAGGCACACUCAUUCAAAGAAGCCCAUCUUUAGAGAAAAAUAAACCUGUUUCCAGCCUGGUCCCAGAACCAGCUUUGACCUAAAAAGCUCAGUCCUCUUUCUGCACACGCUGUUCAGUGAGUGUUUCUUUUUAUUACAUUUUCAUUUUGGGGAAAUUGGUUAUUAAAAUGAUUAAAGUUGACAUUUUUGUCGCAUUAGAGGAACAGUUGGCAUGACUGACAGGUUGGGACACUGUUGGUGGAAAGCAUUGGGGAUAAAAUCCCAUCCCUCCUUCCCAGAUAGGUGCAUCUUUAAGUGAUAAACAUUCAUACAUAUACAGUCAAGCCCAAAAUUAAUCAUACCCCUGGCAAAUUUUGACUUAAAUUUACUUUUAUUCAACCAGCACGUUUUGUUUUAAUUGAAAAUGACACAGGCAUCUCCCUGAAGAUAAUAAGAUGAUGUAAGCCUGCUCCAGCAGCAGCAGCUGUGGGUCUGUGGUCUGAGGUCGUCUGUGGUGGUCUGUGGUCAGUGGGGCGCGUGGACCGGGCAGGUGAAUCACUGCAGGUGCUCUCUCUCUCUCUCUCUCUGCUCUAUGUGUUUCCUCUUUAAAAAGUCUGAUGAAUAUUUGAUCCGCGGUUCGGCCUCCACUUCUCACUAAUCCACAAGCUCCAAUGCGCCAAGACACCGCCGCUGCCGCCGCUGUCUGCCUCCUCUUCCUCUCUGAUCCUCCUCCUCCUCCUCUUCCUCACCUUGCUGAUGAAGAGGAGAUGCUGGACUUUGUGCCUCUGCUGUCUGCGGUCUUAGGAGGAGGAGGAGAAGAAGAAGCAGGGUCUGGCUCGUGCUUCAGUGUCUUCUUCAGUAGCGCUCGAGACGACCGACGGCCGGUGGGGCGCGAGGAGGUGCACUGACUAUCUAUAGCCAACCAGCAACUAAGUUGGAC
Molecule: non-coding RNA, 994 nt
Organism: Xyrichtys novacula (pearly razorfish)
Lineage: Eukaryota; Metazoa; Chordata; Actinopteri; Labriformes; Labridae
Source: the annotation of a GenBank genome assembly